GUCUUUGAGGGCGAAAUGGGUCUGGACCCUCUAAAGGGGAAGAGGGGGAGCUUAGCUGCUGAGACUCCAAAGAGUUCCUGUCUCCAGGUGCAUAUAUAGGGGACAAAGGCAGAAAUAAAUUCCGAGGAUUGAGACCCUUAACUCCUGAAUCAGGAUUUUCAUGAACUGUCUCAGGUCAAUGAAGGCCAAUGUCUCUUGCUGACACACAGCAAUGUGUUGGUGCUGCCGCAGGAGAGGCCUUCCUUCCCGAGAAUCGCUCAGUGCCUGGGUCUCAACUGAGCCUGGGAACCACAUGUCAGAGCUCUCGCCUCUGCAAUGGAACGCUUGGAGGUGAGGCUGGAAAUCAAGAAGAGGAGAGAUUCCAUAGCCAGGAAGCAUGUCUCAGAUGGCACAUGGGUACUGCAAAACAAUUGAGAAACAAAGAAACCAGAAACAAUAUUAGAUAUUAUAGCGCAUCUUUAUUUUGAGUACAAAGGAAAAUAAAUUGAGCACAAAGGAGUGGA
Non-coding RNA from Danio rerio (zebrafish), 503 nucleotides. The record is from Ensembl. Lineage: Eukaryota; Metazoa; Chordata; Actinopteri; Cypriniformes; Danionidae.